UACGUAGGGUCCGAGCGUUGUCCGGAAUUACUGGGCGUAAAGAGCUCGUAGGUGGUUUGUCGCGUUGUUCGUGAAAACUCACAGCUCAACUGUGGGCGUGCGGGCGAUACGGGCAGACUAGAGUACUGCAGGGGAGACUGGAAUUCCUGGUGUAGCGGUGGAAUGCGCAGAUAUCAGGAGGAACACCGGUGGCGAAGGCGGGUCUCUGGGCCGUAACUGACGC
Molecule: ribosomal RNA, 223 nt
Filed under: uncultured bacterium
Lineage: Bacteria
Description: partial 16S ribosomal RNA
Rfam family: Bacterial small subunit ribosomal RNA
Source: RNAcentral